CUCGAACGGCAGCGCGGGGCAACCUGGCGGCGAGUGGCGAACGGGUGAGUAAUAUAUCGGAACGUACCCUGGAGUGGGGGAUAACGUAGCGAAAGUUACGCUAAUACCGCAUACGAUCUAAGGAUGAAAGUGGGGGAUUCGCAAGAACCUCAUGCUCCUGGAGCGGCCGAUAUCUGAUUAGCUAGUUGGUGGGGUAAAGGCCUACCAAGGCAUCGAUCAGUAGCUGGUCUGAGAGGACGACCAGCCACACUGGAACUGAGACACGGUCCAGACUCCUACGGGAGGCAGCAGUGGGGAAUUUUGGACAAUGGGCGAAAGCCUGAUCCAGCAAUGCCGCGUGAGUGAAGAAGGCCUUCGGGUUGUAAAGCUCUUUUGUCAGGGAAGAAACGGUGAGGCUAAUAUCCCUGCUAAUGACGGUACCUGAAGAAUAAGCACCGGCUAACUACGUGCCAGCAGCCGCGGUAAUACGUAGGGUGCAAGCGUUAAUCGGAAUUACUGGGCGUAAAGCGUGCGCAGGCGGUUUUGUAAGUCUGUCGUGAAAUCCCCGGGCUCAACCUGGGAAUUGCGAUGGAGACUGCAAGGCUAGAAUCUGGCAGAG
RNAcentral lists this ribosomal RNA (598 nucleotides) under Janthinobacterium sp. Man04. RNAcentral describes it as "bacterial SSU rRNA". It matches the Rfam family "Bacterial small subunit ribosomal RNA", at positions 61 to 656 of the family's 1533-position model. The record is from RNAcentral. Lineage: Bacteria; Pseudomonadati; Pseudomonadota; Betaproteobacteria; Burkholderiales; Oxalobacteraceae.